CUUGCUUCCGCCGACGACCGGCGCACGGGUGCGUAACGCGUAUACAAUCUACCUUAUACUGGGGUAUAGCCUUUAGAAAUGAAGAUUAACCCCCCAUAGUCUCUUAGAGUGGCAUCACUUCUAGAGUAAAGGUUACGGUAUAAGAUGAGUAUGCGUUCUAUUAGUUUGUUGGUGUGGUAACGGCACACCAAGACUACGAUAGAUAGGGGCCCUGAGAGGGGGAUCCCCCACACUGGUACUGAGACACGGACCAGACUCCUACGGGAGGCAGCAGUGAGGAAUAUUGGACAAUGGAGGCAACUCUGAUCCAGCCAUGCCGCGUGCAGGAAGACUGCCCUAUGGGUUGUAAACUGCUUUUAUACAGGAAGAAACACCUCUACGUGUAGAGGCUUGACGGUACUGUAAGAAUAAGGAUCGGCUAACUCCGUGCCAGCAGCCGCGGUAAUACGGAGGAUCCAAGCGUUAUCCGGAAUCAUUGGGUUUAAAGGGUCCGUAGGUGGAUAAUUAAGUCAGAGGUGAAAU
Molecule: ribosomal RNA, 522 nt
Filed under: uncultured Bacteroidota bacterium
Lineage: Bacteria; Pseudomonadati; Bacteroidota
Description: bacterial SSU rRNA
Rfam family: Bacterial small subunit ribosomal RNA
Source: RNAcentral